CCUACGGGUGGCAGCAGUGAGGAAUAUUGGUCAAUGGGCGCGAGCCUGACCCAGCCAAGUCGCGUGAAGGAUGACUGCCCUACGGGUUGUAAACUUCUUUUAUAAAGGAAUAAAAUGAGGCGCGUGUGCCUUUUUGUAUGUACUUUAUGAAUAAGGAUCGGCUAACUCCGUUCCAGCGGCCGCGGUAAUACGGAGGAUCCGAGCGUUAUACGGAUUUAUUGGGUUUAAAGGGAGCGUAGAUGGGUUGUUAAGUCAGUUGUGAAAGUUUGCGGCUCAAACGUAAAAUUGCAAUUGAUACUGGCAGUCUUGAGUACAGUUGAGGUAGGCGGAAUUCGUGGUGUAGCGGUGAAAGGCUUAGAUAUCACGAAGAACUCCGAUUGCGAAGGCAGCUUACUAAACUGCCACUGACAUUGAUGCUCGAAAGUGUGGGUAUCAAACAGGAUUAGAGACCCUGGUAGUC
RNAcentral lists this ribosomal RNA (460 nucleotides) under uncultured bacterium. Its description in RNAcentral is "partial 16S ribosomal RNA". It matches the Rfam family "Bacterial small subunit ribosomal RNA", at positions 338 to 795 of the family's 1533-position model. The record is from RNAcentral.